UCUGACCAUCUUUGCAGGAGAAUCAUUUCUAUAGUGUUCGACCUUCUCUUGGUUUCCUACAGAAGCCACAGAAUCCACCCUGGUUGAUGAAUGUAUAUCCUCGACGCCCUAGAGUGAAAGCUCCGGUUCCUCUCGCUCUGUCCGCAAGGAUGGCGGUGUUUGCACCUGCAGAUGCUGUAUAGAGAGAUUGUUCCCGUAUGGCAUGGCAACAUGUCGGGAAGCUUUGUUGAUGAUCUCGACCCUGUUUGUUGUUUGCCCUCGGGCGCAUGGGCAGGGUGGGCGUUGAUGGACGUCUGACAGGU
Molecule: small nucleolar RNA, 302 nt
Organism: Metarhizium anisopliae BRIP 53293
Lineage: Eukaryota; Fungi; Ascomycota; Sordariomycetes; Hypocreales; Clavicipitaceae
Rfam family: Fungal small nucleolar RNA U3
About the family: Small nucleolar RNAs (snoRNAs) are involved in the processing and modification of rRNA in the nucleolus. There are two main classes of snoRNAs: the box C/D class, and the box H/ACA class.
Source: Rfam